This 253-nucleotide ribosomal RNA is filed under the name uncultured bacterium. RNAcentral describes it as "partial 16S ribosomal RNA". It matches the Rfam family "Bacterial small subunit ribosomal RNA", at positions 524 to 776 of the family's 1533-position model. The record is from RNAcentral.
UACGUAGGCAGCGAGCGUUGUUCGGAGUUACUGGGCGUAAAGCGUGCGUAGGCGGUGUCUUAAGUUUGUUGUGAAAUCUCCCGGCUUAACCGGGAGGGUGCGGCGAAUACUGAGAUGCUGGAGUGCCGGAGAGGUAAGCGGAAUUCCUGGUGUAGCGGUGGAAUGCGUAGAUAUCAGGAGGAACACCUGCGGUGUAGACGGCUUACUGGACGGUAACUGACGCUGAGGCACGAAAGCGUGGGUAGCAAACAGG